RNAcentral lists this transfer RNA (68 nucleotides) under Oxypodini gen. sp. 2 ZMUN 10029209. RNAcentral describes it as "tRNA-Leu". The record is from RNAcentral. Lineage: Eukaryota; Metazoa; Arthropoda; Insecta; Coleoptera; Staphylinidae.
AUUAUUUUGGCAGAUUAGUGUAUUAAAUUUAGAAUUUAAUUAUGUAAGUUUUUAUUUACAAAUAAUAC